Molecule: ribosomal RNA, 253 nt
Filed under: uncultured bacterium
Lineage: Bacteria
Description: partial 16S ribosomal RNA
Rfam family: Bacterial small subunit ribosomal RNA
Source: RNAcentral
UACGUAGGGUCCGAGCGUUGUCCGGAAUUAUUGGGCGUAAAGGGCUCGUAGGCGGUCUGUCGCGUCGGGAGUGAAAACUUACAGCUUAACUGUGAGCGUGCUUCCGAUACGGGCAGACUUGAGGUAUUCAGGGGAGAGCGGAAUUCCUGGUGUAGCGGUGAAAUGCGUAGAUAUCAGGAGGAACACCUGUGGCGAAAGCGGCUCACUGGACCACAACUGACGCUGAGGCGCGAAAGCUAGGGGAGCAAACAGG